UGGGGUUUCUCUCCUGAGAGUUGUCACCUUGGAAGCCAUGGGCAUCCAUCAGCUGUCACUCCCUUGCGUACAGUUGCUCCUUGGCAGACCUCCUGAGGUUCUAUGUAAAUGAAGUCUCUACCUACCCACUUCUGUGCUUCCUCUUACCUGCCAAACACACACAGGCCCAUCACUAGCACUGUUUACAAACCUCCUGUCCAGCCUCCAUGUGAAGCUUUUAUAGACACAGCGAAACAAAAACACUUGUCCUGUAAGCACAAGCACACAUACGCACACACACACACACACACACUAGAUGCAAACCCCUCUGUUUUGCUUAUUUUAUUUAUUAUUGUGUGUGUAUGCAUGGAAUAUGUGUGGACACACUUUCCACAGCAUCCGUGUGAAGGACAGAGAACAGCUGGAGUUGGAGUUGAUUCUCCCCUCCCCACCUUUAUGUGGGUCCCAGCCAUCAAAUUCAGCUCUUUGGGCUUGACAGCGAGUGCCUUUCCCUGUUGAGUUGUCUCGCUGGGCCUGUUUUUGUUUUCUGAAUAAAAUUUUGUUUUUAUUUUA
RNAcentral lists this long non-coding RNA (552 nucleotides) under Rattus norvegicus (Norway rat). RNAcentral describes it as "long non-coding RNA NONRATT011068". Lineage: Eukaryota; Metazoa; Chordata; Mammalia; Rodentia; Muridae. The record is from RNAcentral.